Molecule: ribosomal RNA, 120 nt
Filed under: Betta splendens (Siamese fighting fish)
Lineage: Eukaryota; Metazoa; Chordata; Actinopteri; Anabantiformes; Osphronemidae
Source: RNAcentral
GUUUACGGCCAACCACCCUGAACACGCCCGAUCUCGUCUGAUCUCGGAAGCUAAGCAGGGUCGGGCCUGGUUAGUACUUGGAUGGGAGAACCCGCCUGGGAAUACCAGGUGCUGUAAGCU